GAAACCUAGGUCAGUAAAAUGCUCUCAAAAACAAUGUCUCAGUGUCUCUCCCACCAGUCUUCCCACAUUUGAUUAGGAAAUUUAACUCUUUCUUAGUGUCCAAACAUUGACAAGCUGCAGGCUGCACAAUCUGAGCUAUCUGAUCCAGGUGUCCCUUGGGAGCCCCUUGCGGUCCUUCUCUCUGUGAUGGGUGGAAGGGACAUGGACACACACACCUACUGACUUGGAUUGGGGUGCUUUUGAGGUUUGUGCCUUUCCUGUGCAAUGGUAACACCGUUUUCUGUGACUCAUUUGUAGCAUAUUGGCACCAGCUCCUCAAUCUUCCUGGCUGAUAUUUAUGAGUUUAAAUAUGGCUAAUGAUACAACAUGCCUGCCAGAUGGUCAAGGGGAACUACCUGGAUUCAGAUAUUUGAGCAUCAGGCAAAUGCUUGAUUCCUUGGACUGAGACUCAAACAUAAAGCCAUUUUUGGAAAAUAAUAUAAUCCUGAGGAUUCUCAAACACUGUAAGUAAACAGAAGCAACCCAUGCAGAUCAAUGAAACAGGAGCAGGCUAAGGGUGGACCAGGCAUCCUUCUCACAUGGCAGGUGGGAAAAUUGAAGCACAGGUGGACUAAGGGGAUGAGCAUUAGUCCCCAGAACACAGGAGCGGUGAUAACAGGUGGGCUGGAUCUGAGCUUCUGGCAGAACAAAUCCAUAUGUGCCAUUGUCCCUCAGCUCAAACGUGUAUGAGAAAGGGAUCCCAAUGUCUCGAGCCCAGUCUCUUGAAGACCCUGAUGAGGAAUCUACAAAGGAAAACAUGCAGGAAGAGAUCCUUUUACCAGGCUGCUGUAGCAACUAAAAUAAAUGAGUCUGCAGGCUGCUCGCCUCUGGCCUGCUUUCACCGGGCUCCUGGAGUCUGUGUGGUGACCCCGUGCCUCUUGCUCCCACCAUACUCCUCCUCUCAGAAGAAAUCAACCUCAACAUCUGGCGCACCAAUGUGACUGAGAGAGAGACAGCGUGUUGGACUUGGUGAGGUCCCCCCUUGAUUUCUGCAAGUAGGCCCCUCGAUGUUUUGUGUGCUGUUCAGUUCUGUGGGGGUGAGCACGGAACCCCCUUCUACGCCACUUUAUUUGUCCUUGUCCUCAGUCUAAGUGACCCCAGGUUAGGCACACACCACCCAGAAGCACAUGCCACUUCUUGGCUCUUUUUACUUUCAGUUCUCCUGGUGAAUUCACAUAAGGGACUGAUCAUUCCAGAAUUUGGAACCAAGUCAUCUUCCCUCACUCGAGAGAGGUGAUGCUCCAGAGACACCGUGUGGGCAUACGGCCUUGACCUAACAAACCAAGGAAGUCUCCCACUAAGCAUAGGAUACACCAUGUCUGUUUGUCUAAAGUCAGGAAACCCCUGCAAAAUUCCAACAGCGGCUGAAGUGCUAUGAAUUGAUUUUGUUAUGGCAGCAGUGCUGUGGGAGUCUUUCCUUUGGCUAGAGUUGGCAUGGUGUGCUACUCUUAAACACUCAAACAUGGGAAAGAUACCCCUCUCUCAGAAUCCCGCACAGAUUACCAAACAUAAUGAAUCUGUGAGUGAUAAGAGCCUGACACUCCAGGUCCCUGUCUCACAGACAACAGUCGAUGACUGUGGGAGAGCUCUGACAGUGAAAAUGACGUGACAGCAGACAAUGCAGCAAUGCCUAGUCAGCCACCCCUCAACUACCCAUGGGAUGAACUUAGACAACCUUGAGGUGAUAACCCAUACGAGGUCAUCCCAUCCACACCCAGUGAGGAUCCUCACAUUUGUGGCAGUCCUCAGGCACCCCAGGCACUCAGGGUAGCCGCUAGAACCCAUCCCACUCACAUAUUUGCCAUUAAUGUAGGAGUGGAUGCAGAAUUCAGGCCCUGGAUUCCAACACCUGUAAAAAGGUUUCUGCUAACCAAGGGUCGAGGAUAUGUUUGUGUCUUUGCAGAGAAUGCGGGACAGCCCAUUUGGGUACCAGCCAGAAACAUCAAGCCUGCAACUGACAGCCAACUAGAAUCAGAUGAACAAGACUGAGAGUCCACCUUGUUAACAGAUGCACCUGCCCUAUCAUCCUACCCUGAGAAACUGCCCAUGUCCACAUCCGCUACUGUUUUAUACCCCACUAGCUCUGGUCAGCCACUCAAAUGGCCCACAGCCUGUGUGUGGUUAUGUCAUUCCUGAUUACCAUUGUUCCUCAUUCCUACCCCUAUCUGAGCAAGCACUCCUGAGGUCUCCUGUUUUGAUCACUGGUUAGUCAACGACGGGUAAGAUCCCCUGGGGGACAACCUAAGACAGGCACAGCCACAUACGGAUACCACAUGGAAACGGGGUCAACAAUGGUAUGGCCAAGAAUCAUUUCUCCUGUCGCUCAAAAAUAAACGAAAAUGGAGAAAUGUGGUGGAAUGAGAAGGCUGUGCCAAGAUGGCCACUGGCAACAGAAACUGACUGACAACAGGUCGUGAUUGGAUGGCUUCAGAAACCACAUGACAAUGGAGCCUGCCUGGCAACAGGCUGUGAUUGGAUGGCUUUGGAACCUGCCUGGCAACAGGGUAUGAUUGGUUAGGGCAUAGACCGCCCCUUAACCAGAUUGGCUGCCUUGGCUAUAUAAGCUGCUGUAGCAACUGAAAUAAAGGAGUCUGCAGGAUGCUCGUCUCUGGCCUGCUUUCUCUCGGCUCCCGGAGUCUGUGUGGUGACUCCGUGCCUCUUGCCCCCACCACACUCCUCCUCUCAGAAUGAAUCAACAGCAACACCAGGCCACAUCUUGCUUUGCUUUCUGGCUGAUGGGGCUUCUGGGAAACAAAUUAACUGACCAAGUAUCAUUGAACAGUGUCCUUUGUGUUAACCUCUGGGUCUUCUAACUUCCCAUCUCUUUCCAACUCAAGUCAAGGGAAGUUUUGGUAUGAGAAAAUGUAUUAUUUUUCUUCCAUUUUAGCUCAUGCCAUAUCGCUACAGACUAUAAUUAUGAAUUUGGACAGACUCCCUUGUAUCAUUGGUCAUUUUGAUUUGUACUCCCUGUUGAUCCCAGGAAUUCUUCUCUUCUCACC
Non-coding RNA from Oryctolagus cuniculus (rabbit), 3038 nucleotides. Lineage: Eukaryota; Metazoa; Chordata; Mammalia; Lagomorpha; Leporidae. The record is from RefSeq and is a predicted model, not a curated record.